UUGACCUCGAAUCAGGUAGGAAUACCCGCUGAACUUAAGC
This 40-nucleotide ribosomal RNA is filed under the name Erysiphe aquilegiae. Its description in RNAcentral is "partial 28S ribosomal RNA". Lineage: Eukaryota; Fungi; Ascomycota; Leotiomycetes; Helotiales; Erysiphaceae. RNAcentral also lists the same sequence under 5 other names. The record is from RNAcentral.